GAUGAACGCUGGCGGCGUGCCUAACACAUGCAAGUCGAGCGAUUUACUUCGGUAGAGAGCGGCGGACGGGUGAGUAACGCGUGGGUAACCUGCCCUGUACACACGGAUAACAUACUGAAAGGUAUGCUAAUACGGGAUAACAUAAGAGAGUCGCAUGGCUUUCUUAUCAAAGCUUUUGCGGUACAGGAUGGACCCGCGUCUGAUUGGCUAGUUGGUAAGGUAACGGCUUACCAAGGCGACGAUCAGUAGCCGACCUGAGAGGGUGAUCGGCCACAUUGGAACUGAGACACGGUCCAAACUCCUACGGGAGGCAGCAGUGGGGAAUAUUGCACAAUGGGCGAAAGCCUGAUGCAGCAACGCCGCGUGUGCGAUGAAGGCCUUCGGGUCGUAAAGCUCUGUCCUCAAGGAAGAUAAUGACGGUACUUGAGGAGGAAGCCCCGGCUAACUACGUGCCAGCCGCCGCCGUAA
Molecule: ribosomal RNA, 468 nt
Filed under: uncultured bacterium
Lineage: Bacteria
Description: partial 16S ribosomal RNA
Rfam family: Bacterial small subunit ribosomal RNA
Source: RNAcentral